GAUGAAGAACGCAGCGAAAUGCGAUAAUUAAUGUGAAUUGCAGAAUUCAGUGAAUCAUCGAGUCUUUGAACGCACAUUGCGCCUUAUGGCUAUUCUGUAAGGCAUGCCUGUCUGAGCGUCAGCAAAAACCUCAAGGUAGUAUGAUGGCUUUUUUUUUACAUAAAAAGCCUCUUAUCUUGGAUCUUGUCAAGAGAGUGAACUCUUUUGUAGAGUUUACUUCUUGGAAAAUGAUAGAUGGUCAGAAGUAUUGCUUUUAACCAAAUGUGAUAAGAAUUAUUCAUUUGAAAGUUUAUUGAAUACUUUUUGAUCAAAUCUUGAGAAAAAAAAGAAAAAAAAGCUUUAUGGCUUUUUUUGAUUUACUUGACCUCAGAUCAGGUAGGGAUACCCGCUGAACUUAAGCAUAUCAAUAAGCGGAGGA
RNAcentral lists this unclassified non-coding RNA (418 nucleotides) under soil metagenome. RNAcentral describes it as "partial contains 5.8S ribosomal RNA, internal transcribed spacer 2, and large subunit ribosomal RNA". The stretch from base 1 to 121 matches the Rfam family "5.8S ribosomal RNA", at positions 35 to 154 of the family's 154-position model. The record is from RNAcentral.